RNAcentral lists this long non-coding RNA (1788 nucleotides) under Marmota monax (woodchuck). Lineage: Eukaryota; Metazoa; Chordata; Mammalia; Rodentia; Sciuridae. The record is from RNAcentral.
CCUCACUGUACCCUGUUGCUAGGCUCCGUUACAGACCUUAAAUACUGUGUAUUUCACCUAACUUACACAAUUCUAAUUGUUCAGGAAUUUGUAUUUAUCGGAUUAAUGCCUGUUCUCCUCAAUACAACCUCUAUAAAUCUGUAAGCUACAGGGGGAAAAGGACUUGGCCCAUGUCUGUUCAGUACUAAAUCCUCAGAAUCUUGAUCACAUGAUCAUUUUCAGAUCAGAACAGUGAGGCUUGUCCCAAGUUCAUACAGCAAGCAGAGGGGAUUUGACUCUAAAACUUAACCCUUUUAUCUUUUCACUCUCCUUUCCUCUGGGACGGGAAAAGAUUUGGGACUCUGCCAUUCCUGGGCAUGUAGCUCUAGAAACCUCAUCUGCUUCUUCAAGCUUUUGGAAAUAAAUCUAAAGAGGCUGAUGGUUUUCCUGGCCUCAGAGGAAAGAGGAUAAGUUCUCUUUUUGCUUCUCUUCCAUUUACAUUUUUUUCUUUCUUUCUUUCCUUCCUCCCCAUCUCUCUUGCUCUCUUCUUUCCUUCCUUGCUUCUCUCCCUUCCUUCCAAAACGUGAAGUGUUCCUUCUCACUGCUAGACUCUGUCCUGGGAGCUGGCAAUAGCAAUAAAUCAUACAGCCUCUGUCCUCAAAGAGCACAAAAUCUAGUCCAACAGAGGUCUAGACUAAUAAAUAAAUUACAACCCAUUAUGGUUUCCUUCUCUGUAAAAUGGAUGCCAUUUUUAAUAUUCCAGUCAUUUUGGGAAACAUACAACUAAAACUGAUCCUGUGAUUGAACUUAUGAAGGAAUAACCAAUGAACUCUAGGAUCGAAAGGAAAGUAGGUGAACCAGGCUCAGGAAGCAAGAGGGUGGGCAGCUAACCAAGUCCAUGUUCCAGGAGCAAGGUGGAACAUGGACUUGGAGGACAGUGGACAAUGCCCCUAGCAUUGUCACUGUCACUAUUCCCACUGAGACCACUUCAGCUGUCUCAGUGUUUUUAAGACUGUCCCUCAAGAGUCAGAGUCGAGUGCUCAAAGAGUCAAAUACUCCAUUUGGGAGCAUCCUGUGAACCCAGCACAGACUACCUGACUAGACUCUUGCUACCUAGAAGCAGCAAGGAGAUAUAUCUGCUUGUUUUCCAAUGCUCAGACACCAUUGUCCUGUGGUUCUUGGGUGACAUCAAGGCCAAAGAACUUCUUGGGAGUUCACCUAUCCAUCAAGCCUCUGGACAGUGCAACUGGUAGGCAGCAGGCCUGAAACUUGACUAGUAGAUAGAACACAAAAGACAUCAUCAGUGCCUGUUUUCAGCAAAAGAAAAUUUAUUGAAAGUAUGUAGGUGGGGAUCAAGGAAUUUAUGAGUAGCUGAAGAAGUAAGUGGAGCAGAGAGGAACCAAAGGAGAGCUGAAAGGUCUAGCCCCAGGUUGUAGCUGCCACUACCACCAUGAGGAGCAAUGUUCAACAGGAUCUCCUAUCUAGGCUGAGUGUCUCAAAAUUCUCAGGACAGGGAGUCUGAUGGAAUCAACCUUCAUCAUGGGCCAGUACUGCAGGGCAAGAAGAAUAUGGUUUCUUGGGCUGGGGAUGUGGCUCAAGCAGUAGUGCGCUCGCCUGGCAUGCGUGCAGCCCGGGUUCAAUCCUCAGCACCACAUACAAACAAAGAUGUUGUGUCCGCCAAAAACUAAAAAAUAAAUAUUGAAAAAUUCUCUCUCUCUCUCUCUCUCUCUUUCUCUCUUUUAAAAAAAAAGAAUAUGGUUUCUUUAGUGAAUGGGCCAUCUUGAUGUACUUGAUAAAACUAUUGUUGGG